RNAcentral lists this long non-coding RNA (370 nucleotides) under Androctonus crassicauda. The record is from RNAcentral. Lineage: Eukaryota; Metazoa; Arthropoda; Arachnida; Scorpiones; Buthidae.
AGAUAUUAGUACCAGCUCAUAAGUUGGUUUCCUAUAGACAAACGUUAUUAGGUCCCCAUUUGAGGCCAAUAAUUGAGAAAGGAACAGCACUCACAUAUAAGAUGGAGAAGGCAAUAGCUAAAUGGUGCAUGGCAAUAUUAGGGGAGACAAUACAUUGUCCACUAUAACUACAAAUGUCUUGGCAAGAAUACGCAACAUGAAAUGGGACCAAGGUGACACAUUUGCAACAUACGAUUUUGACAACCUGUACCUAUCCUUAUAUCUUGAUCUGAUAUGCCUGAUGUUCUAUAAAUUUUUGUUUGAAAAUGUCCCAGAAGCCCAGGAAAGAGCACCAUUAUUAAGAGAAAUAGUCCACACAGUAUGCUACAGC